This 408-nucleotide ribosomal RNA is filed under the name uncultured bacterium. RNAcentral describes it as "partial 16S ribosomal RNA". It matches the Rfam family "Bacterial small subunit ribosomal RNA", at positions 28 to 526 of the family's 1533-position model. The record is from RNAcentral.
GACGAACGCUGGCGGCGUGCUUAACACAUGCAAGUCGAACGAAGUGGCGAACGGGUGAGUAACGCGUAAUCAACCUGCCCUUCAGAGGGGUACAACAGUUGGAAACGACUGCUAAUACCGCAUACUGAAGGAGGGGAUUGCGUCUGAUGAGCUAGGUGGAGGGGUAACGGCCUACCAAGGCGAUGGUCAGUAGCCGGUCUGAGAGGGUGAACGGCCAAAAUGGGACUGAGGCAAGGGCCAGAAUGCUACGGGAGGCAGCAGUGGGGAAUCUUCCGCAAUGGGGGAAAGUCUGACUGAGCAACGCCGCGGGAGUGAUGACGGCCUUCGGGUGGUAAAGCUCUGUUAAGCGGGACGCGGUACCGGAAGAGAAAGCCACGGCUAACUACGUGCCAGCCGCCGCGGUAAUCC